UACGGAGGGUGCAAGCGUUAUCCGGAUUCACUGGGUUUAAAGGGUGCGUAGGCGGGCUUGUAAGUCAGUGGUGAAAGCCCGGGGCUUAACUCCGGAACUGCCGUUGAUACUGCAAGCCUUGAGUACGGUUGAGGUGGGCGGAAUACAUCAUGUAGAGGUGAAAUUCUUAGAUAUGAUGUAGAACACCGAUUGCGAAGGCAGCUCACUAAAGCGUAACUGACGCUGAGGCACGAAAGCAUGGGGAUCAAACAGG
RNAcentral lists this ribosomal RNA (253 nucleotides) under uncultured bacterium. Its description in RNAcentral is "partial 16S ribosomal RNA". It matches the Rfam family "Bacterial small subunit ribosomal RNA", at positions 524 to 776 of the family's 1533-position model. The record is from RNAcentral.